GAGGAAUAUUGGGCAAUGCCCGCAAGGGUGACCCAGCAACGCCGCGUGGAGGAUGAAUGUCGUAAGAUUGUAAACUCCUGUUAGAGGGGAAGAAUAGUACCGGUUGGACCGGUAUAUGACUGUACCCUCAGAGAAAGCCCCGGCUAACUACGUGCCAGCAGCCGCGGUAAUACGUAGGGGGCAAGCGUUGUCCGGAUUUACUGGGUGUAAAGGGCGCGCAGGCGGGAUAAAAAGUCAGUGGUGAAAUCCUGCAGCUUAACUGUAGAACUGCCUUUGAUACUUUUAUUCUUGAGUUCGGGAGAGAGAGACGGAAUUCCAGGUGUAGUGGUGAAAUACGUAGAUAUCUGGAAGAACACCAGUUGCGAAGGCGGUCUCUUGGUCCGACACUGACGCUGAGGCGCGAAAGCGUGGGGAGCAAACA
This 421-nucleotide ribosomal RNA is filed under the name uncultured bacterium. Its description in RNAcentral is "bacterial SSU rRNA". It matches the Rfam family "Bacterial small subunit ribosomal RNA", at positions 356 to 774 of the family's 1533-position model. The record is from RNAcentral.